This 302-nucleotide ribosomal RNA is filed under the name uncultured bacterium. RNAcentral's name for it is "bacterial SSU rRNA". It matches the Rfam family "Bacterial small subunit ribosomal RNA", at positions 28 to 324 of the family's 1533-position model. The record is from RNAcentral.
GAUGAACGCUAGCGGCAGGCCUAAUACAUGCAAGCCGAACGGCAAGAACUUUAGCAAUAGAGUUCCUAGAGUGGCGUAAGGGUGCGUAACACGUAUGCAAUCUGCCCGCAACAGGAGGAUAGCUCCCCGGAAAGGGGAAUUAAGACUCCAUAAGAUCACAGGAAGGCAUCUGAGAGUGAAUUAAACUACCGAGGGGUUGCGGAUGAGCAUGCGCAUGAUUAGUUAGUUGGCGGGGUAACGCCCACCAAGACGAUGAUCAUUAGGGGAACUGAGAGGUUGACUCCCCCACACUGGCACUGAGA